This is a long non-coding RNA of Salvelinus fontinalis (brook trout), 2267 nucleotides long. RefSeq lists it as uncharacterized. Lineage: Eukaryota; Metazoa; Chordata; Actinopteri; Salmoniformes; Salmonidae. The transcript has 4 exons. The record is from RefSeq and is a predicted model, not a curated record.
UAUCGAAAGCCCUCCCCCCUUACCGGCAGAAAGAGAAUCGAGAACACCCAAAAUAGUUUUAAAAAGCUUCUAACAGCUCGCAUUUCAAUAAAAUAAACCACUGAGCGUAACGUGUGUGUGUUGAGGCAGGCGGAGUUUGCAAGAAUUUGUUACGAAUUCAUGUGUUUGCUGAAUGUGUUCUGAAGGAGUCGUCGAUAGUCUUUUCAAAUACGGACAAAGAUGAGAGAAGAUAUAGCAGUCACUCUCCUCCAAAACACUGAAAAAUAUAUGUAAAGAUAUAGACUACGUGACAUUAUGUUUUGAGGGAUGACCUGAGCCAACUGUGCCACUUCUGUGGGGAGGUGGACAGUAAUGAAGGUUGGUUGUGACCGCUGCCCAUGAUGGUUCCACCAGUCCUGUAUGAAAACCAUCCCAUCAAUAGAGGAUUAUUAUCAUGACACAAGGUGAGACGCAGACGCAGACACAGGAGGCAGAUGGUUGAAGUCUUACAAUGUUUAUUAAUCCAAAGGGGUAGGCAAGAGAAUGAUCGUGUACAGGCAAAAGGUCAAAACCAGUUCAGAGUCCAAUAGGGACUGAAAGGUAGGCAGAAUCAAGGUCAGGGCAGGCAGGAUGAUCAGGCAGGCGGGAAAGUAGUCCAGAGUCAGGCGGGUCAAAACCGGGAGGACUAGCAAAAGAGAAUAGAAAAGGAGUACGGGGAAAACCACGCUGGUUGACUUGACUAAACAUACAUGACGAACUGGCACAGAGAGACAGGAAACACAGGGAUAAAUACGCAGGAGAAAAUAAGCGACACCUGGAGGGGGUUAAGACAAUCACAGGGACGGGUGAAACAGAUCAGGGCGUGACAAUUAUAUCUGCGCUGCCUGUCAGUACUAGGUUAGGCUUGAGUUCCAGGCGACGGUAUCACCUGGAAAACUUUCCAUAAAAAGUGGACUAAAUGUUCAGUCGAGCUGUUGCAGCUUUCCAAUAUUUGUUUAUGUUAUUUGCUUUUUUGUGCUCGGCAGAGGUAGCCUGACUGCCAAUAGGUACCGAGAUGAGAUCCCCCCUUGUGAGACCAUAUGCUGAUACAUGCACAUUUGUGGCCUGCUGGAGGUCAUUUUGCAGGGCUCUGGCAGUGCACCUCCUUGCACAAAGGCGGAGGUAGCGGUCCUGCUGCUGGGUUGUUGCCCUCCUACGGCCUCCUCCACGUCUCCUGAUGUACUGGCCUGUCUCCUGGUAGCGCCUCCAUGCUCUGGACACUACGCUGACAGACACAGCAAACCUUUUUGCCACAGCUCGCAUUGAUGUGCCAUCCAGGAUGAACUGCACUACCUGAGCCACUUGUGUGGGUUGUAGACUCCGUCUCAUGCUACCACUAGAGUGAAAGCACCGCCAGCAUUCAAAAGUGACCAAAACAUCAGCCAGGAAGCAUAGGAACUGAGAAGUGGUCUGUGGUCACCACCUGCAGAACCAUUCCUUUUUUGGGGGUGUCUUACUAAUUGCUUAUAAUUUCCACCUUUUGUCUAUUCCAUUUGCACAACAGCAUGUUAAAUUUAUUGUCAAUCAGUGUUGCUUCCUAAGUGGACAGUUUGAUUUCACAGAAGUGUGAUUGACUUGGAGUUACAUUGUGUUGUUUAAGUGUUCCCUUUAUUUUUUUGAGCAGUGUAUAAAACAACAGCUGAACAUUUGUUAUGUUCUUUGUUGAUUGUAUGUGUAUUAAUCUUUUCUUACUGUUGUUGACACAGAUUUCACCACUUCCCACUCCCACUUACUGCACAUCGGCGGAAAUCCAUUUCACCAUGAGAGUGCAAUCACGCUGGCCUUUGCUGGGGAGAACUUCCACGCCCUAGAGGACUUCCCCAUGGGACUUGGGGCUCUGUUAUGGCUCUAUUUUUUUCUUUUCCGUUAAAUUUCCCAAAAAAUGUCAGAAAUACUUAUGUUCUUAAGUUACUGUGUUCUGGGGAUAAGAGAAGUUGGGGUGAAGUUACCAGGGCCAGUCAUAAAGAUGGCAAACUUCCUAACAUAACUAAGUGGUUGUUGGACACACACAUUAAAGCUAAAAAAUCUGUAUUUAGCAUCAAGUCUACAAUAUUGUUAGUUUACCUAUGAUUCAUUUUUCAUGUAUGUUGUUUUUAUUGUACAUUAUUUUAUUGAAAAUAAAAUGUCAUGAAAAGCACUAUACAAAGUAAAUGUAUUAUUUAUUAUGGUCUGACAUGUCUGCAGAAAUGUUGCAAUUUUGUAAUGUGUUUUGCUUGUUUUGUAAAUAUUAAUUCACAUUUGUGGUGCCA